Molecule: transfer RNA, 84 nt
Filed under: Verrucomicrobia bacterium LW23
Lineage: Bacteria; Pseudomonadati; Verrucomicrobiota
Description: tRNA-Leu
Rfam family: tRNA
About the family: Transfer RNA (tRNA) molecules are approximately 80 nucleotides in length. Their secondary structure includes four short double-helical elements and three loops (D, anti-codon, and T loops). Further hydrogen bonds mediate the characteristic L-shaped molecular structure. tRNAs have two regions of fundamental functional importance: the anti-codon, which is responsible for specific mRNA codon recognition, and the 3' end, to which the tRNAs corresponding amino acid is attached (by aminoacyl-tRNA synthetases). tRNAs cope with the degeneracy of the genetic code in two manners: having more than one tRNA (with a specific anti-codon) for a particular amino acid; and 'wobble' base-pairing, i.e. permitting non-standard base-pairing at the 3rd anti-codon position.
Source: RNAcentral
GCACUCGUGGCGAAAUGGCAGACGCGCACGCUUGAGGUGCGUGUGGGUAACCCCAUGGGAGUUCGAGUCUCCCCGAGUGCACCA